Molecule: ribosomal RNA, 254 nt
Filed under: uncultured bacterium
Lineage: Bacteria
Description: partial 16S ribosomal RNA
Rfam family: Bacterial small subunit ribosomal RNA
Source: RNAcentral
UACGGAGGGGGCAAGCGUUGUUCGGAAUUACUGAGCGUAAAGGGCGCGCAGGCGGCUGCUCAAGUCAGGCGUGAAAGGCCUGGGCUCAACCCGGGAAUUGCGCUUGAGACUGGGCUGGCUUGAGUGCGGGAGAGGAUGGUGGAAUUCCCAGUGUAGAGGUGAAAUUCGUAGAUAUGGGGAGGAACACCGGUGGCGAAGGCGGCCACCUGGACGGUAACUGACGCUGAGACGCGAAAGCGUGGGGAGCAAACAGG